This 253-nucleotide ribosomal RNA is filed under the name uncultured bacterium. Its description in RNAcentral is "partial 16S ribosomal RNA". It matches the Rfam family "Bacterial small subunit ribosomal RNA", at positions 524 to 776 of the family's 1533-position model. The record is from RNAcentral.
UACAGAGGGGGCAAGCGUUGUUCGGAAUUACUGGGCGUAAAGGGCGCGUAGGCGGCCUUCUAAGUCGAACGUGAAAUCCCCGGGCUCAACCUGGGAACUGCAUUUGUGACUGCAUGGCUAGAGUGCGGCAGAGGGGGAUGGAAUUCCGCGUGUAGCAGUGAAAUGCGUAGAUAUGCGGAGGAACACCGAUGGCGAAGGCAAUCCCCUGGGCCUGCACUGACGCUCAUGCACGAAAGCGUGGGGAGCAAACAGG